UACGGGGGGGGCAAGCGUUAUCCGGAUUCACUGGGUUUAAAGGGUGCGUAGGUGGGCUAGUAAGUCCGUGGUGAAAUCCCCGAGCUUAACUCGGGAACUGCCGUGGAUACUAUUAGUCUUGAAUAUCGUGGAGGUAAGCGGAAUAUGUCAUGUAGCGGUGAAAUGCUUAGAUAUGACAUAGAACACCGAUAGCGGAGGCAGCUUACUACGCGAUUAUUGACACUGAGGCACGAAAGCGUGGGGAUCAAACAGG
Molecule: ribosomal RNA, 253 nt
Filed under: uncultured bacterium
Lineage: Bacteria
Description: partial 16S ribosomal RNA
Rfam family: Bacterial small subunit ribosomal RNA
Source: RNAcentral